Molecule: long non-coding RNA, 1080 nt
Organism: Urocitellus parryii (Arctic ground squirrel)
Lineage: Eukaryota; Metazoa; Chordata; Mammalia; Rodentia; Sciuridae
Source: RefSeq, a predicted model, not a curated record
CCACCCCGGGGCGGUAAAGUGGAGGAACUUCUCUGUGUGUUUUGGGAAUGAGGUGGAAGYUGCCGGCGGUCGUCGUGCUUCUUCUUCAGGGACUGGCGACCUCAUUUAAAGGCUGGGAGCCCGGGACUUCGAUCCUGGGACCUGCCAUUUUAAAGGAAACCGACUCAUGAGUCGGAGAAGAUUCCUUACUGUCUCUGGAUCUAGGUUAUCUCAACAGUAAAAUGAGCAAAAUGACCGACUUCCCAGGACAAAGCCGUGCACGAUGAUGUUUCACCAAGAUGAUGUCAGUACAGCUAGGGAGAUGCAGCACACACCUUCACUCCCUCUGUCUCUGGAAGAGAAACCAGAUUGUAGAGGGCAUGGAGUACAGAAGCUAACAGAACUCAAAAUGUUUCCUCUGCCAGAAGCAGUCUGGACGCUCCUUCUUAAUUUUGAGACUUACCUUAAGGUCACUUCUCCUAUGAAUGCAUCAUUCUUCAUCUCCUCAGGUAGAAUGACCCCUCUCUCCUUGUCCCUAAUGGUACUCUAAAUUGAAAUCUCUUCCCUUUUUGUUUCUACAUGUCUCCCUCUGCUGCUGUUGUGAGCUUCACAAGGACAGAAAAUAUUUGAUUGACCUUUACAUCUGCAGUACCUGGCAUACAGUUGGCAACUAGUGAAUGAUUUUAGGGGAUGAAUAUGCUGCAGUCACAUAGAGAUAACUGAAGGGAUCAGUAGUACUUAUUGCCAUAUAUUUAAAUCCCAUCUUAUUCUCUUUUUGCCAGUUGAGGUUAUUUUAGUCUGUUUUAUAUAUAAUCAUGCUAUCAAGAAUAAAUAUUAAAUAAAGUUUUUGUUUUCCCUGUUUCUAGAAGGCCAUUUCUGCCAGUGCCUUGGUAAAUCCACUAGAAAGAUAGCUACAGAUAGAAAGCACGUUUGAUACGGUGUUUAGAUAGCUUCAAGAUGUCUCCUGGAGAAGGAAAGGGAGGAAAAGGACUGGGCUGGCUUCUUUAAAUAAAGGAAAUAUUGUCUUGAUGAAAUUUUUGCCCUUUUGGCAUUACCUAUAAGCUUUCUUCAGCUCUAUCAUCCAACGAGUCUGUGAUCUGU